Molecule: ribosomal RNA, 508 nt
Filed under: fungal sp. AQG34
Lineage: Eukaryota; Fungi
Description: eukaryotic LSU rRNA
Rfam family: 5.8S ribosomal RNA (bases 119-272)
Source: RNAcentral
UACCUAAACGUUGCUUCGGCGGGAACAGACGGCCCCGUAAAACGGGCCGCCCCCGCCAGAGGACCCCUAACUCUGUUUCUAUAAUGUUUCUUCUGAGUAAAACAAGCAAAUAAAUUAAAACUUUCAACAACGGAUCUCUUGGCUCUGGCAUCGAUGAAGAACGCAGCGAAAUGCGAUAAGUAAUGUGAAUUGCAGAAUUCAGUGAAUCAUCGAAUCUUUGAACGCACAUUGCGCCCGCCAGUAUUCUGGCGGGCAUGCCUGUUCGAGCGUCAUUACAACCCUCAGGCCCCCGGGCCUGGCGUUGGGGAUCGGCGGAGCCCCCCGUGGGCACACGCCGUCCCCCAAAUACAGUGGCGGUCCCGCCGCAGCUUCCAUCGCGUAGUAGCUAACACCUCGCGACUGGAGAGCGGCGCGGCCACGCCGUAAAACACCCCAACUCUUCUGAAGUUGACCUCGAAUCAGGUAGGAAUACCCGCUGAACUUAAGCAUAUCAAUAGGCCAGAGAAAA